This 463-nucleotide ribosomal RNA is filed under the name uncultured bacterium. RNAcentral's name for it is "partial 16S ribosomal RNA". It matches the Rfam family "Bacterial small subunit ribosomal RNA", at positions 339 to 795 of the family's 1533-position model. The record is from RNAcentral.
CUACGGGGUGCAGCAGUCGAGAAUCAUUCGCAAUGGGGGAAACCCUGACGAUGCGACGCCGUGUGAACGAAGAAGGCCUUCGGGUUGUAAAGUUCUUUCGCGAGGGAACAAGAGAAUUAUGUAAAUAAUGUAAUGAUCAGAGGGUACCUCGUAAAGAAGCACCGGCUAACUCCGUGCCAGCAGCUGCGGUAAUACGGAGGGUGCAAGCAUUAAUCGGAUUUACUGGGCGUAAAGGGCGCGUAGGCGGCUUAUUAAGUCUGAUGUGAAAUUCCAUCGCUUACCUAUGGAGCUGCAUGAGAACUGAUAGGCUUGAGGUUGUCCGGAGGAAAUGGAAUUCCACAAGUAGCGGUGAAAUGCGUAGAUAUGUGGAAGAACACCGGAGGCGAAAGCGGUUUUCUAGGAUAAACCUGACGCUGAGGCGCGAAAGCAAGGGGAGCAAACAGGAUUAGAUACCCCCGUAGUC